AGUGAACGCUGGCGGUAGGCCUAACACAUGCAAGUCGAACGGCAGCACAGUAAGAGCUUGCUCUUACGGGUGGCGAGUGGCGGACGGGUGAGGAAUACAUCGGAAUCUACUUUUUCGUGGGGGAUAACGUAGGGAAACUUACGCUAAUACCGCAUACGACCUACGGGUGAAAGCAGGGGAUCUUCGGACCUUGCGCGAUUGAAUGAGCCGAUGUCGGAUUAGCUAGUUGGCGGGGUAAAGGCCCACCAAGGCGACGAUCCGUAGCUGGUCUGAGAGGAUGAUCGGCCACACUGGAACUGAGACACGGUCCAGACUCCUACGGGAGGGAGCAGUGGGGAAUAGUGGACAAUGGGCGCAAGCCUGAUCCAGCCAUACCGCGUGGGUGAAGAAGGCCUUCGGGUUGUAAAGCCCUUUUGUUGGGAAAGAAAAGCAGCAGGUUAAUACCCCGCUGUUCUGACGGUACCCAAAGAAUAAGCACCGGCUAACUUCGUG
RNAcentral lists this ribosomal RNA (492 nucleotides) under uncultured bacterium. RNAcentral describes it as "partial 16S ribosomal RNA". It matches the Rfam family "Bacterial small subunit ribosomal RNA", at positions 29 to 507 of the family's 1533-position model. The record is from RNAcentral.